Sus scrofa (pig) is the source of this 3404-nucleotide non-coding RNA. Lineage: Eukaryota; Metazoa; Chordata; Mammalia; Artiodactyla; Suidae. The record is from RefSeq and is a predicted model, not a curated record.
UCCAACCCUUAGUCUGGGAACAUACAUAUGCCAUGUGUGCAGCCCUAAAAAGACCAAAAAAAAAAAGGCUAUACCCAGUGUUACAUAGAUCUUUGUGUGUAGACAUCCUGAUGGCCAGCUCAGCUAUCUUUCCCUGUAUCUCUACGGUGUCAGAAAAGUGCUCGGGGGAGUUCCCCUUGUGGCUCAGUGGAAACAAACCCGACUAGGAUCCUUGAGGAUGCAGGUUCCAUCCCUGGCCUCACUCAGUGGGUUCAGGAUCCGGCUUUGAAGUGAGCUGUGGGGUAGGUGGCAGCGCUGGGUGCCUCUGGGAAAAACUGCCCUGGUGUAAGGGCUGCCACUGCCAUCUUGGACCAAGAUAUAAAAUUGGUCUCUCCAGCCAUUUGGACCAAGGUAUAAAACUGACCCUGGAACGGAGAGGUCAGGGAAUUCAAGAAAAUUAGAAUUCGUGAUAUUAACAUGUAUUUAAAGUGUUUGACUUCUAGGGAACAUGUUAAUUGUUUUCGUAUUCUAAAGAGAAUUCGUCCGUUGAAAAGCCUAUAACCAUGUUUUCCAGAUAGUGACAAAAAGCCAUCUUUGAAAACCUACGUACAAUUAAGCUUUUUUAAAAAAAAUUCUUAAACUUAUGAUUAAAUUGAAAAUAGUCCUGAGUCAUUCUGCAAACUCACUGAAGACCCAGGAGUGUGGUGGAGGUUUCAGGAGGGCACCCUAUCUAGGGCCUGAGUGUGGCUUUGGGGGACUUAGCGAGCUCGGGAAAGCGCCAGUAGAGGGCGCUUUGCCAGCUGCAAUCAGGGCUUGGGUGUCUGCUUUAAAUUUCACAAUAAAUCUAACUUGAGAGUGAGUGUAACCCUAAUAUAAAUUAUACUAUAAGAUAGGGACUUUUUUCCUCUCAUAAGUGAAAGGUUACCUUCCUUUUGGAUCAAUACUGAGCAUAAUUAUAUCUGCUCGCCCUUGUUACGCUUUACAAAAGCAUUUCCAAAUAUUCCCAACUGCCUCCUAGACUUGUGGGAAGGGUGAUAGUUCCUUUUGAGAAAAACUACUCAAUUCUGAAAGACAUGCCUUUUAAAAAAAAAAAACAGGAAGAGCCAGUACCGACUAUGAAAGUCCGCUGUGAAAUUCUGAAUUCUUCAUGUCUCCAUUCACAAUGUCCUGAUAAUUUUUCCCAGUUGUCAUCUGUCUUUUUCCCAGUUCCAUCCAGGAAUGAAUGGUAACUGCAUUCCUGGAUCUUUGUAGAAAAGAAAUCUCUUACUGCAGUAAUCAUUUCUCAAGAUAUAUAUUUUUAGCAAAUCAUCACAAUGCCCAUUUUAAACAAAAGUUGUAUGUCAGCUCUAAAGGAACCAAAAUAAUAACCUCAAAAUUAAAGACAUACUAUUUCAAUAAUAUAUAAGGUUGAAGUUUUAAUUCAUGAUAAAAUCGAAGAGGUGUUUUUCCUUUUUUUUUUUUUUUUUCUCCAACCAGUAAAGAGAUUUUAAUUUUAGUUUAGGAACAACAGAAGAGGGGGAAAAAAAACACGUUUGCUUAAAGCCUCUUUGGAUAGCAAUGCCUGCCCUUAAGAGAUGACGUAUUCCUUUCCACUGUUAAAAAGAAACAGCAGGCCCCUAAUGGAGUCCCUGUGUAAAGCCCACGUCACCAGCACCAAACCAACUUAUUACCUAACCUAAUUGCAGUCCUACCUUCCCAGAAAUGUUACCUUUAACCAGUCAACCUGAAAUGACCAGGUCAGCAUGAAAGGAGAGCGACCUUGCCUGAAACAAUGCAUUCUUUGCUAAUAAUUUCCUUUUCCCACCCCCUUUCCACCUUUAAAACCCCUUCCUUUUUCUAUGCCAUAGAGGAGGGCCUUUCUAUUUGCCAGAUGGGGUGCUGCCCGAUGCAUGAAUUGUUUGCAGGUCCUUUCUAGUCAAAGUGAGUGCUUCUGAAUAAUAAAUGUGAAGAAACCUCAGGUCCAGCCUGACCUUCGUAUUGAUGACACAGCCACGCAUGUAAAAGGAAAGACCUGAACACGCAGCUAAUUCCCCCCUCCUUUCUCCUUAACUGGAGGAUCUCAGCUCCUGUUGGGAAGGUAAGCUCCCCUUAUUUUACCUAAAUAAGGGGAGCUUAUUUUACCUUAAAUAAGCUCCCCUUAUUUUACCUUCUCGUUGCUGAACGAAUGAUAACGUGGACACAAGACAUUCACAGGAGAAAAAUAACAAUUUUCAUUCACGGGCAUGGAGAUCUCAUAGAAAUGGGGACUAAGAUGUAGCCAGAGCAGGCAGCUUUUAUACUUCUUAGAUUAAAAAAAAAAAAAAUUUAGGAGAAAUUAUCCUAUCAGGAUAAUUGGGAUAAACCUAAAAAAGUGAGGGUUUUGGUGCCCAGUGACCGAAGACUCUAAGUAGAAUUGGGGUUGUGGUGGUGAAUUAAGGAAGUAACAAGGUUGGAUGAUACAAGCAUCUCAGCCGCCAAUUUCUGAUUCUGGCAAUAAGGGCGUCGUCCUUCUACCUCUAGAGUACAGAGCGAACCUUCCACGUGAGAGAUGCGUUCCCUGCUCUCAGGGUGACAGAAAAGAGGACCAGAGUAUCCCUCUCGCAUUGGCCAUUUCUUAAAACUUUUGCUCAAAAUAAUCGAUAUGGCAUGGAGGCAUAUUUUGGGACAGCUCCCUGGGCCCCAACAGUUCCCUCCUCUGAAACUUCCCUGCCAGCUGCAGAGGGAGAGAAAGCGUCAGUGGAGACCUCCCUGCCACUGACCGGUUCUCAGUUCUGAGAAGAGUUCGGUUCGGUUCAGGAGGCGGUGAUGCCGAUGGGCUCCCAGAGCUAGAACUACGGUACAAGCAAUCAAGUCUUUAAGAAGAGGCCUUCCUAUGGAAACAAAAGGAAAGAACAAUGGUAAAUGAAAUGGAGCAGAUUAUAAACCAGUUUCAGAGCCCCAGAGGCAGCCAGCUGAGAUUUCUCCAUGUCAGGGUCAAAGCAUCUUUUCAGUUGGAAAUGUCUCUGAUGCUGUCAGUGGGUGUUCAGGUAAACUUUCUGAGUGGCUCAUUCAGCAACAGACGCAAGGGUUGUUGAAAUGGGAUCUGCUGUCGUCAUUUCUCGGAAGUUUAUAUCAUCAUCUAGCUUCAGUUUGCAGGAUUUCAGGAAAAAGGCUGUUUCAGUUCUCAAUGACUCCAAGUCAAAAGGAUGGAAGAAAAUUGGAAACAUUAGUUUAGAGCUGCAGCCAGAUGUUGGAGGAAACUAGAAGAACUAAGGACCAAGUCCAGUUUUCAGGUGUGUGUACGAGGAGAGGGUUGAUGGAAGGAGGAGCGUUGGCUGGAAGACGUCUGUGAAGGAAUCCUUGGCAAACCUGUCAGCUCAGUGUAUGUGUGGAAAAGGAGAUCCGUGGACUGAUCCAAAUUAAGGUGCAGCCAUUAAAGAAAAAGAAGAAGAAAAAGAAAACAGGAG